AGAGUUUGAUUAUGGCUCAGGAUGAACGCUAGCGACAGGCUUAACACAUGCAAGUCGAGGGGCAGCAUAAAAGUAGCAAUACUUGGUGGCGACCGGCGCACGGGUGAGUAACGCGUAUGCAACCUACCUAUCAGAGGGGAAUAACCGGCGAAAGUCGGACUAAUACCGCAUAAAACAGGGGCACCGCAUGGUGAUAUUUGUUAAAGAAAUUCGCUGAUAGAUGGGCAUGCGUUCCAUUAGGUAGUUGGUGAGGUAACGGCUCACCAAGCCGACGAUGGAUAGGGGAACUGAGAGGUUGGUCCCCCACACUGGUACUGAGACACGGACCAGACUCCUACGGGAGGCAGCAGUGAGGAAUAUUGGUCAAUGGGCGGGAGCCUGAACCAGCCAAGUCGCCGUGAAGGAAGAAGGAUCUAUGGUUCGUAAACUUCUUUUGCAGGGGAAUAAAGUGCAGGACGUGUCCUGUUUUGUAUGUACCCUGAGAAUAAGGAUCGGCUAACUCCGUGCCAGCCGCCGC
Molecule: ribosomal RNA, 517 nt
Filed under: uncultured bacterium
Lineage: Bacteria
Description: bacterial SSU rRNA
Rfam family: Bacterial small subunit ribosomal RNA
Source: RNAcentral